This 215-nucleotide ribosomal RNA is filed under the name uncultured Glomus. Its description in RNAcentral is "partial 18S rRNA". The stretch from base 39 to 215 matches the Rfam family "Eukaryotic small subunit ribosomal RNA", at positions 686 to 864 of the family's 1831-position model. The record is from RNAcentral. Lineage: Eukaryota; Fungi; Glomeromycota; Glomeromycetes; Glomerales; Glomeraceae.
GGUUAGUAGGUUGGUCAUGCCUCUGGUAUGUACUGGUCUCACUGAUUCCUCCUUCCUGAUGAACCGUAAUGCCAUUAAUUUGGUGUUGCGGGGAAUUUGGACUGUUACUUUGAAAAAAUUAGAGUGUUUAAAGCAAGCUAACGCUUGAAUACAUUAGCAUGGAAUAAUGAAAUAGGACGUUCGAUCCUAUUUUGUUGGUUUCUAGGAUUGACGUA